CGAGGAAUCUUGCGCAAUGGGGGAAACCCUGACGCAGCAACGCCGCGUGAGUGAGGAAGGCCUUCGGGUCGUAAAGCUCUGUCAGAUGGGAAGAAAUGGGUGGGGGUGAAUAUCGUCCACCCUUGACGGUACCAUCAGAGGAAGCACCGGCUAACUCCGUGCCAGCAGCCGCGGUAAUACGGGGGGUGCAAGCGUUGUUCGGAAUCAUUGGGCGUAAAGCGCGCGCAGGCGGCUUGGUAAGUCAGAUGUGAAAGCCCUGGGCUUAAACCAGGAAGUGCAUUUGAUACUGCCUCGCUAGAGUACGGGAGAGGAAAGUGGAAUUCCUGGUGUAGAGGUGAAAUUCGUAGAUAUCAGGAGGAACACCGGUGGCGAAGGCGACUUUCUGGCCCGAUACUGACGCUCAGGCGCGAAAGCGUGGGGAGCAAACAG
This 429-nucleotide ribosomal RNA is filed under the name uncultured bacterium. Its description in RNAcentral is "bacterial SSU rRNA". It matches the Rfam family "Bacterial small subunit ribosomal RNA", at positions 355 to 775 of the family's 1533-position model. The record is from RNAcentral.